Molecule: ribosomal RNA, 285 nt
Filed under: uncultured bacterium
Lineage: Bacteria
Description: partial 16S ribosomal RNA
Rfam family: Bacterial small subunit ribosomal RNA
Source: RNAcentral
GUGGAUUAGAUACCCGGGUAGUCCACGCUGUAAACGAUGAAUACUAGGUGUCUGGGGUCAAACCUAGGUGCCGCAGCUAACGCAUUAAGUAUUCCGCCUGGGGAGUACGCACGCAAGUGUGAAACUCAAAGGAAUUGACGGGGACCCGCACAAGCAGCGGAGCAUGUGGUUUAAUUCGAAGCAACGCGAAGAACCUUACCAGGUCUUGACAUCCUUCUGACCGAUCCUUAGCCGGAUCUUUCCUUCGGGACAGAAGAGACAGGUGGUGCACGGCUGUCGACAACU